GACUCAGUGAGAGAGACUCAAACAUUCCAACCCUGAUCGUUGCACAUUUGAAGCAGAAUUCCCAAGGGAUCGAAGAAGUGGACUCAGUGAAAGGGAGAUCACACAGACAACUUAAAGACAAAGAGAAGGAGAGAGAAAGGUUGAAAAGAAAGAGAAAGAAUAAGGGAGCAGGGAAAGAGAGAAAGAAUGGAAAGCUGAAGACUUCUCAUUAACAAAUAGGGAAGGCGGAGAACAAAAAAAACUACCCCCACAGUAGAACACCGUCACAUUUUGUUGCUGACAACGACCUCUUCAUUUUCUACAACUGUUGGGACGCACCACCUGCCUAAAAAUGACCCAGAGAGGAGGGAGAGAGUUGGUGAUAGAGGGGAGGUGGAGAAAGAGAGAGAGAGUACAGAUCGAUAGAGAUAAAGAAGAGAGAAGAAAGCACAGAAUAUUCUCCAAUGAAACAGUAGGAUCAUAUACACACUGGAACCAGUGUUAAAUUAAUACACUGCUUAGUGUAAAACUGUAUUAAAAUUGUGAAAUGUG
Molecule: long non-coding RNA, 531 nt
Organism: Oncorhynchus nerka (sockeye salmon)
Lineage: Eukaryota; Metazoa; Chordata; Actinopteri; Salmoniformes; Salmonidae
Exons: 2
Source: RefSeq, a predicted model, not a curated record